GUGUCUAGAAAUUUCGAUUCCAUCUGUAUAUAAACGCACUCUCUCUCCCCCUCCUCCCCCCAACUAGUAUUCUUCUAACCGCUAUAUUCUUUAAAUUAACUGUGACCGACCCACUUCACCUACUCGAUCAUCUUCCCAUUUCGUUACAGGAGAGAAUGGAACGGAUAAAGGUUGAAGAUGAAGAAGAGGUCGUGAUUGUCGGUGGCGGCGGUGGCGGUGGUUCAUCGCCUUCAUCGUCUCCGUUUUCAUCUCCGGCGUUGGCACCUCAACCAAUGGAGGGUUUGCAUGACACCGGUCCUCCUCCUUUCCUAACCAAGACCUACGAAAUGGUGGAGGAUCCUUCCACCGAUUCCAUCGUUUCAUGGAGCAGAGCUCGAAACAGCUUCAUCGUUUGGGAUUCCCACAUGUUCUCCAGUACACUUCUACCCAAAUACUUCAAGCACAGCAAUUUCUCUAGCUUCAUUCGUCAGCUCAACACUUAUGGUUUCAGAAAGGUUGAUCCUGAUCGAUGGGAAUUUGCGAGUGAAGGGUUUCUUGGAGGACAGAAGCAUUUAUUGAAGACCAUCAAGAGAAGGAGACAUGUCACUCAUAACAUCCAGCAUCAGCAAGGAGGACGAGGACCUUGUGUUGAAUUGGGCAAAUAUGGCGGCCUCGAAGCUGAAAGAGACAGAUUGAGGAGGGACCGUAACCUACUCAUGCUCGAAAUUGUGAAGCUAAGACAGCAACAACAAUCUUCCAGAGAUCAACUCGUUACCGUCGAGGAACGGCUACAAGGUACAGAGAGGAAGCAGCAACAGAUGAUGACUUUCCUGUGUAGGGCUUUCAAGAACCCAUCUUUUGUGCAACAGCUUAUUCAGCUAAACGAACAGAGCAGAGAGCUUGGAAGCGGCGGCAUUGGGAGGAAACGGAGACUACCUCCCAGCCGGAGCACCGAAAACUUACAGGAGGAGACUGCAUCGGUGGCUGCAGCGGCAGAAGCUAUAGGCUCUCCCCAAUUUGUGAAUUUCAUCGGUCAAUCCCAGGAAGAAGUGGCCACCGUUGAAUCAGAAAUCGAGACUCUGUUCUCUGCAGCCAUUGAAAAUGGGUCGAGCAGCGGAAUUAAGGGCGAGAAGGUUGAUGCCAACAUGAGCAUGAAUAAUAGCGAUCCCGAUUUGGGUAAUAGUGCUAGCGAUUUAGCGUGGGAGGAAUUGCUGAACGAGGAUCUGAUUGCUGGAGAAGGAGAAGAAGAACUAGAUUUAGGGAAUAGUCAAUCAGAAAUUGAUGUGGAAGUAGAGGAAUUGGUUGCUCAACGGGGGAAUUGGGGUGGAAAUAUGGAGGACUUAGUGGAGCAAAUGGGAUAUCUGGGAUCUAAGAAAACCUCAAACCAGGCUGGAUUGGAUGGGUUGCAGGUAGUAGGUUCCUGGUCUUAAUGUCAACAUCUGCAUCUUCGUCUGUGCUUCCCAUUUCUGUUAUCAGCAGGGGAAGGGUUUGAAGAUGCGGGAGAAACUAAGAUGGGUUUCUUUCUUUUGUGUGUAAAUAUGAAAAGGGUUCAGAACCAAGACGUGCUCUUCUUCCCUCUUAGGUAGAAUGGAGGAUUGUUCUCGUAGUCUCAGCUGCCAAUGUUUAUCCCAAUCGCUUCUCUGGAUUCCCUUUCCCUUUCCAUCCCCUCUUUUCUCUCACACUUUCUACCCUUUAUUUUUGGUGUUGAAGCUACUGUUAGUACAGACUGAAGCUUUUACUAAUUUUGUACAGCUUGGUGUUUAAUAACUAAUUUACGUAAAUCCAUCAGUUUUCAACUACAGGCGAAGAUAAGCUAAUACAUGGGCAGAAGAGUUUGCAGACCUCAGAAAAAAACAAGACUUGAUUAAAUUUACAGAGUCUGAUUUCACCACAAUGUUCAGAACCUCAACUCCAAAGCAAGCUGAAGACCUAACCUCAUGGCUGGAGGUUCAGAAAAGAGGGCAGAUCUGAGCAAAAUUUGUCAAUGAUCAUCCUUGAUGAGAGCACCAUAAUCACCAGUUAUACCUUUGAUAAAGGGAAUAUCAGAAUUCAGUUUAGCAUAUCCAUGUAUGGGAGUGGUUCAAAAUGAGAUUUCUUGCGAGGGAUUGUUGAUAGGAGUGUAGUCAAUGAAGGCUACCACCAAAUCCUUGCAUCAUCCUAUUAACAAAGGAUAGAGUUCCAUUAGGAUUAGUUGAAGCAUUUUUUUUUUUUUCUUGUGUGUCGGAUCUCCCAAGAGUAACAUCAAAUUGGGUUAAUUUCCUGCAAUACCUUCUAAAAGAAAAAUAUAGGAAUUCUCUAA
Macadamia integrifolia is the source of this 2278-nucleotide RNA transcript. It is a transcript of the gene named heat shock factor protein HSF30-like, with no coding region annotated. The transcript has 4 exons. NCBI's taxonomy places the organism in Eukaryota, Viridiplantae, Streptophyta, Magnoliopsida, Proteales, Proteaceae. The record is from RefSeq and is a predicted model, not a curated record.